AACGAACGCUGGCGGCAUGCCUUACACAUGCAAGUCGAACGACACCUUCGGGGCUUGUGGCUCACGGGUGCGUAACGCGGGGGAACCUGCCCUUAGGUUCGGGAUAUCUCGCCGAAGGUGGUGCUAAGACCGGAUAAUUUCUUCGGACCAAAGAUUUAUCGCGUUUGGAUGGGCCCGCGUUGGAUUAGCUAGUUGGUAGGGUAAAAGCCUCCCAAGGCGACGAGCCAUAGCUGGUCAGAGAGGAAGAUCAGACACACUGUGACUGAGACACGGCGCAGACUCUUACGGGAGGGAGCAGUGGCGAAUACAGGAAAAUGGGCGAAAGCAUGAACCAGUACUGCUGGGAGAGUGAUGAAGGCCGUAGGGUUGUACAGCUCUUUUAUACGGGAUGAUAAUGACAGUACCGGGAGAAUAAGCACCGGCUAACUACGUG
RNAcentral lists this ribosomal RNA (433 nucleotides) under uncultured bacterium. RNAcentral describes it as "partial 16S ribosomal RNA". It matches the Rfam family "Bacterial small subunit ribosomal RNA", at positions 29 to 507 of the family's 1533-position model. The record is from RNAcentral.